Misgurnus anguillicaudatus (oriental weatherfish) is the source of this 1831-nucleotide non-coding RNA. The record is from RefSeq and is a predicted model, not a curated record. NCBI's taxonomy places the organism in Eukaryota, Metazoa, Chordata, Actinopteri, Cypriniformes, Cobitidae.
AGGAAGGAAACCUCAGGAGGUCCAGCUGUCUGAGACUCAGUCCUGUAGAUGCCGAUGGGAACGUGUCCUACUGUGGAGCACAACAUCUGGCAGAUGUUCAAAACGGUUUCAUGAAAGGCAGCACAAUUUCAGAAGGGGAUUACCUGGUACAAGAGUGUGUCCAGCAUGCCAACACUGAACACCCUACCAGCUGCAAACGGCAGGAGAAGCACAAUUGGGUAGAUCUCAUUCUGUGGUCUGUAUGAGGCUCGUAAUGGGAGAAUGAAGUUGUACAAGCCAUUUCCUGCUACCUCAGCAGACACUAUGACGAAGAACCAACCUUUCACUGCAUUCAUCUCCACUCACAUGGAUUCUUGGAUACUCUGACCGAUCACUGGACACGUCAUCAGUCUGUAAGAUGGGAGGAGCUGGGAUUUGUAGAACAGCAGAUGUGAGCGUGCUUUGCCAGCCAGCAGUUCAGAAACACUGGGAUGAAGAGGUUCCGGAGUGGUCGAUAAAAAAUCUGUUAUGGUGAAGAGCACUCAAUUUAACCUUGACAAAAUGCUUUUCUUAAGUUACUUAAACAUGAGUCAGUCUAGACUUGAGUCACUCGAGAACUUUGCUGACUGUAAAAAUUAACCAUCUAAAUUGGCAAUUUGUUGAAGCAAAUGUAUUUGCAUGGACUUUAAACCUUUUACAGUUACUGUACUACUGUAACUGUAAAUGACAAUACUUACUGAAAUGAGAAAUGGCACUGAGUCAAUCAUUUCCAGGAUAAAUGUUAUUCGAAAAAUCUGCUGCCUUAUGUUCCCCUAAGAUCAGUACAUAAAAAACAGAUAUAGCACAGAUGGUUACAGUAGUUGAGUGAAAAUAACAAUAAGUGCCUGAACACUGUACUCUUAUCAUGUAUUUAAUUCUUCACACUGAGAGUUGGUAUUUUUUUUAGGAAUCAUAUAGUUUGUUGCACCUGUUUUCAUGUCACUAUUGAAUGAUUAUGCUAGUAAAUUAAGCAGACAAAGGAUAUUGUAUAGGAUAAUAGUAUUAAAAAUAAUACCUUGUAGCUUAAAUACAUCACUAGGAUUCUUGGGAACAGACAUGCGAUGGCAACAGACACCUAAAGGACAGAACGUCAAAUUAAAUUUCCAUAUGUACAACAUAUAUUAUUACUAAUCACUUUAACAGUCAGAUAUUACAUAGACCCUUUUACAGCCCACGUGAUCAAAUAGUUGCACGCGCAUUUUGGCAAUGGAAGUGCCGUUGUUUCCCAGUGGUAUUCAUAAGCAAACAGUGACUUUUUAUAGCGCCUUUCCAUGGCUCAAGGCCGCUUCACAUAGUAUAAUACAGUACAUUAACACCUCCACCUAUACAAUACAACACAUAAGACCAUAUACACAAUACAAACACAUUAGAUCAGAUUCAACAACAUUAUCCAUAAUAACUAUUGAAGAGAUACGUUUUAAGUUGGGCCUUAAAGGUAGACAAAGUUGGUAUUGUACGAAGUGAAAGGGGUAGGGAAUUCCAUAGUUUGGGUGCAUUAACACUAAAGGACCUACCACCUACGGUGGACAGACGAAAACGGGGAAUGGACAAAAGACCAAGCUCAGAUGAUCUGAGGGACCGGGCAGGAGAAUAGGGGCAGAGAAGGUCAGACAGGUAUGGAGGUGCAAGACCAUGUAAUGACUUAAAUGUGAGAAGCAAUAUCUUAAAGUGAAUGAGUAACGCCACAGGUAGCCACUGAAGAUCAAGCAGUAGUGGUGUAAUGUGAGCAGAACGCCUGCUCUUAUAUGCUCUUAAUUUCUCUCGGGUGUAUAUCUAGCCACUGUACAUUUGUCCAUCUGCUAACAUCUUCUAU